UGGCAUAUAUUGGAGUUUAAGGACCCUGGGUAUGGCCCAUUUACCAUGGUUGGAGCAGCAGGCCUGUGGGAAGGAGAGACAACUGAUUUGACUUCCCUAGAGCCCACUUCAUCCACAAGGCCCUAUGUUAGUCUAGCAGCUGGCAGGAAUGGGACCCCAACAUGCUGUGAGACACAGGGUGGAGGCCCCAGGCACAUACAAGAGUCUUCCCUUGCCCUGUGAGUGUCUUAGUUCCGAAAGGAGCACUCCUCCUGCUGGCUACAUGCCUUGCAGAGCCCAUUCUUCUGACUUACAACCUUCCUGAAUCUAGUAUGCGGUGUUUAUUCUAGCUAGUUUGAAGCACCCUCUGAGUACUAGCUGUGGAAUACAAAUUGUGUAAUUUUGAUUUUCUUUAAAUAAUUUAGUGCUCUUAUAUUCCCAGUUAAAAAGGCAUUGUAACAAUGAGUGCUUAAAUUUAUGCUAAGAAUUUAAUAUUGUAACUUUCCUUUGCUUAGAGCAAUAUUAAAUAACAAAUAAAACACAUGAUAGAAAGUUGAGAGACAACAGAAGAAAAAAUUUCUUUUAAUACUUUAUAUACUUUUUCCCUGCAUUUUCAGCAAGGGAUCCUGCAUUUUCAUUUUGCACUUAACCUCUGCAAUUUAUGCUGCUACUUUGCUCACUCAAGGUAUUUCUGCUUCACCUCACUCCAUGCCCUUCACUUCAGAAUGCACUGAAUUUGGAAACUAUUAGAGAAAAUAUCCAUAUUCUGUAUCUGAACCAUGCUCUGUUCUUUCUACUAUUUACAAUGGAAAAAGAGUUCCUGCUUUUAUCCUGCACCAACCUAUCACCUUGUAUUCUGCACACUGUACUCUUAGACUUAUUAGGGACCUCCCACUAGCAAUCAUUCUCUCGCUCUCCUGAAUCAUCACACCUUCAUUAUUUUCAUCUCUUCCACAUGAUUCCCAUGUAUAUACAAAUGUGCUGCAGUAUUAUGCUUUUUUAAACUUUAACAUUAUACAAACAACAACAAUCACAUACACAACAAGGAAAUCUCUUGAUCUUUCAACCCAGCUGUAGCUGCCUUCCCACUUCUCUGUUGUCAUUCACAGAAAAAAAUCUCAAGAGUCAUGCUGCACUACCCACUCUAUCUUCACCUCAAAUCCACUCAUCUUCCCACUUCACUCCAGAUAUUGCCCAUACAUCUUCACUGAAAUUAUUAAAUUACCAAUCUCUUUAGUGCCAAAAUCAAUGCUCACUUAAUCCCCCAUCACACUUGACUUCUCAGCAGCAUUUGACAUAAUUGACAAUUCCUUUUUUUUUCUUAAAAUUCUUGGUGAUGGUGACUUCUGACUCUCCUCACUAUUCAUCUACCUUGUUGGCUAUUUAUUAGUUUUAUUUGCUACUUCUCCUCUAUUGAAACUUUGAGUGUUGGAAUGGAUCCAAAACCUAGUACUUAUCUUUCUAAUUUUUCUUUGCACACCUUUCCUAGGGUACUUCAACCCAUAACUACAUAUAGUCCUGAGUAUAUAGCCACCUGCUUUAUCUCAGAUAUCUAACAGGCAUUUCAGAGUUAAGAUGGUCAAAAUGUAACUUUUUUUUUUUUUUAAAUGGAGUCUUGCUCUGUUGCCAGGCUGGAGUGCAGUGGCACGAUCUCAGUUCACUGCAACCUCCAUCUCCCAGGUUCAAGCACUUCCCCUGCCUCAGCCUCCCAAGUAGCUGGGAUUACAGGCAGGCGCCACCACGCACAGCUAAUUUUUUUUUUUUUUUGUAUUUUAGUAGAAACAGAGUUUCACCAUGUUGGCCAAGAUGGUCUCGAUCUCCUGACCUCGUGAUCCGCCCACCUCAGCCUCCCAAAGUGCUGGGAUUACAGGCACGAACCACUGCGCCCGGCCCAAAAUGAAAGGAGCCCCAGGCCUCUCAAAAAGUAUGAAAGAACUGGAAUUCACCAGAUCAUCACAUCCAGACAAUGAGACACCAGGCCCCUCAUUCAUCAUGAUGGCUUCUUUACCCCUAUGGAGUUCCUGUUUUCCCUUAGAUAGUUACAUUUCUUCCCUGCUAUAUAAACCCCUAAUUUUAGUCAAUCCCGAAGACGGAUUUGAGCUUCAGCUCCCAUCUCCUUGGCUGCAGACCUGAUUAAAGCCUUCUUCCGUGGCAGUACUUGUCAUCUCAGUCAUUGACUUUCUGUGCAGCAAGCAGCAGGACCUAGAUGCAACCUGUGGUGUUUCAGUAACACGUGUAGUAACUAACAUUGUCUGACAUGCUCAUUACAUGUCUUUUUCUAAUCCCAGUUUUGCUAUCUCCUCAAUUUUCAAUUGGAGAUUAUACCGCAUGAGGUAAUCUGUUUUGUAAAAAACAAAAAGCUAUUGGACUCUAUCCACAUGUGCAUAAUUUUUCACCCUAGAAUUAGAUCUUCCAUACUUACUUGAAAUAAUCAUAUAUAUUAGUGUAAACAGCAGAUUUAAAAAGAGAUUAGGCUUAGGUUCCGUAAACAGUAAAUGGUUAAUACGAUUUUUCAAAAUUGCUUUUUACAAGUGAAUCACUGGUUCAAACAUAGGAUAAGUUAGAAAUAAACAAAAUUAUUACCCUCUGAAAGUUAACUGGUGAUUUGGGUUCAGUUCCUAGUUUCCCCUGUACUAGUGUCCAGCCUCAACAAUUAGAUUUAAUUUAGCACGGCUGAUGGGAGCCUUCUCUGAAAGGGUUGCAUAAAUGGUUUCUGGGGUCAAGUAAUAAAAAUUCCUCCUAACUCAGGGGUGAAGUGCUGCUGAAAACUGGAACUCUUGAUAAUUUUAUGACCUCAGUUCAAUUCAGUUAGAUAAAGUAAAUACUUCUGUAGCAAUCACACACAAAGUACACAGAAAUUAAUAACUGAAGAAAUACUAUUCUGAGAACAUUGACACAUAGGCACACCUCAGCUUUUUUUUUGUUUUUAGGAUGCUAUUGCCUUCAAUUUACAGUGGUAAAACUAUAACCAUGCUUACCCAAAUUUCCCUCCCCACAGGGUAGGUGCUGCAGUUUAAUUUAAUUAGGGAGAAGUGAUUCUUACUUGGGUAUUGGUAUAUUAAUGACCAUUCUUAAAAGCUACCAGGGUCAAGUAAUUCUUUGACAAAACAUACCUAUUUGUAUUUAUCAUAUUUGAACAGAGAUAACUUGGAAACACUCAAUAAGCAGAAUGGUAAAGAAAUUUCAAAUUUUUAAUAUGAAAUCAAACAUUUUUCAUUUAAGCGUGAACACCACUGUUGCUAAACAUACUCUAUGGGUUGAAUUUUCCCAGAAACACCUGGUAACUCUCUUUCCUUUCCCUUUUGCCUCUUUAAGUAGGUGUUAAUCAUUUGCCAGAUCUGUGUUCCAGCCUAUCUAUGGUUCAGAGUCAAUAUUCAUAAUACAUGGCGGUGGUGGUGGUGUGUGUGUGUAUGUGCGCACGUGCAUGUGUUUGUGAGUCUUUGUUGAUUCUACUGAGUUGAUGUUUUUUUAACAAUGUCUUUGUCCAGAAUAUGUACGUAUUAGAGUUCCUCAGAUAACCUUCUACAACUUAAAUUCAAACUGCAAUCACUCCAAACUUGCUGACCUAUUUGCAAAUCUUUACACAUAUCUUUGCAUAUCUAUUUUCUCAUUUUCUUUCUUCUCUUCUCAUACUACUAUUUUUCACUUCUCCAUAUCUAAUUUUUCUUCAGUUGUUUAUAUCUGUAUUAGGGUUUAAACCCUGAGGUUUGUUCUUUCCCAUUCUCUGAACAAAGAGAGAGAUUCAUUCAAAAUUUGGAGAAAACCCAUCACUGAAGCAGUAAACAUCUGGCUUUGGGCAGUAUUGCUACAGAGCACGAUUGUAAAACACAUACUGUUUUCUGACACUUUUUCUUUUAUUUGCUUCUUUCUUUUGUUUGUUUUUUUAGUUCCUUAAUUUAAAAAUAAAUAUGUUAAUUAUAGAAGAAAUUAAAUAUAAAAAGUAUAAGUGAGAAAAAUCAAAGUCAUCCAUAUGCUUAACUCCUAGAAAGAGCCUGUUAACUUUCUGCUAAAUUGCCUUCUGAUCUUUUUCUAGUGUACGUGAAGGCUAGUUUGUAUAUAUAUGAAUAUAUUUAAAUAAAAUGCAUUUGCAUAUACAUGUACUUAUACAUACAUUCACGUAUAUUUGCAUACUUGGGAUCAUAGUGUAUAUAUUUCUUUAUCCAAUUUCUUACUUAUUAUAUUGUGAAUAAUUCCCAUGCCAUUUAACCUUCUUUUUC
RNAcentral lists this long non-coding RNA (4196 nucleotides) under Homo sapiens (human). RNAcentral's name for it is "HSALNT0058028". Lineage: Eukaryota; Metazoa; Chordata; Mammalia; Primates; Hominidae. The record is from RNAcentral.